AACACCAUCGGGCACUGUGGUACCAACGGCUGUGACGACAACAUUCUGGUGGCCGAUGGGUUGUCGAUGAUGGUUGUUCUUUGGUGGUUGAACAGUGAGUGAAUUACACUCCUACUAGGACUCUACAUGAUGUGAUUUCCCAGACCCGAAUAGAACCUCAAAAAUAGAUCAAUGAGACUCGUACUCGGUAGUUGGAAAAUUGGCAAACUUGAUAUGAUCAUCUUGAUUAGGAUCAAAAUUGGGUAGAACCUAGACCAAAAGUACUUGCAGUAUAAGAAACCGAAGUUAUAUUGAAC
RNAcentral lists this long non-coding RNA (296 nucleotides) under Gossypium raimondii (Peruvian cotton). Its description in RNAcentral is "long non-coding RNA (GRAI_LNC003845)". The record is from RNAcentral. Lineage: Eukaryota; Viridiplantae; Streptophyta; Magnoliopsida; Malvales; Malvaceae.